UCACGGGCAAGCCUCUGGCUC
Molecule: small nuclear RNA, 21 nt
Filed under: Arabidopsis thaliana (thale cress)
Lineage: Eukaryota; Viridiplantae; Streptophyta; Magnoliopsida; Brassicales; Brassicaceae
Description: snRNA_13542
Source: RNAcentral